ACUCAAAGGAAUAGACGGGGGCCCGCACAAGCAGCGGAGCGUGUGGUUUAAUUCGAGGCUACGCGAAGAACCUUACCUGGGUUUGACAUGAUGGUGAAUGAAGGUGAAAGCCGGAAGUCCCUUCGGGGCACCACCACAGGUGCUGCAUGGCUGUCGUCAGCUCGUGUCGUGAGAUGUUCGGUUAAGUCCGAAAACGAGCGCAACCCCUAGUUUCAGUUACACGUGUCUGGAACCACUGCCUGCGGUAAGCAGGAGGAAGGUGGGGAUGAUGUCAAGUCAGCAUGGCCUUUAUAUCCAGGGCUACACACACGCUACAAUGGCGCGUACAGUGGGUUGCGAAACCGCGAGGUGGAGCCAAUCCUAAAAAGCGCGUCGUAGUUCGGAUUGUAGGCUGCAACUCGCCUGCAUGAAGCCGGAGUUGCUAGUAACCGCAGGUCAGCACACUGCGGUGAAUACGUUCCCGGGCCUUGUACACACCGCCCGU
RNAcentral lists this ribosomal RNA (484 nucleotides) under uncultured bacterium. Its description in RNAcentral is "partial 16S ribosomal RNA". It matches the Rfam family "Bacterial small subunit ribosomal RNA", at positions 899 to 1397 of the family's 1533-position model. The record is from RNAcentral.